This 451-nucleotide ribosomal RNA is filed under the name uncultured bacterium. RNAcentral describes it as "partial 16S ribosomal RNA". It matches the Rfam family "Bacterial small subunit ribosomal RNA", at positions 354 to 796 of the family's 1533-position model. The record is from RNAcentral.
GUGGGGAAUAUUGGACAAUGGGGGGAACCCUGAUCCAGCCAUGCCGCGUGUGUGAAGAAGGCCUUUUGGUUGUAAAGCACUUUAAGCGAGGAGGAGGCUACCGAGAUUAAUACUCUUGGAUAGUGGACGUUACUCGCAGAAUAAGCACCGGCUAACUCUGUGCCAGCAGCCGCGGUAAUACAGAGGGUGCAAGCGUUAAUCGGAUUUACUGGGCGUAAAGCGCGCGUAGGUGGCCAAUUAAGUCAAAUGUGAAAUCCCCGAGCGUAACUUGGGAAUUGCAUUCGAUACUGGUUUGCUAGAGUAUGGGAGAGGAUGGUAGAAUUCCAGGUGUAGCGGUGAAAUGCGUAGAGAUCUGGAGGAAUACCGAUGGCGAAGGCAGCCAUCUGGCCUAAUACUGACACUGAGGUGCGAAAGCAUGGGGAGCAAACAGGAUUAGAAACCCUGGUAGUCC